RNAcentral lists this long non-coding RNA (744 nucleotides) under Crocodylus porosus (Australian saltwater crocodile). Its description in RNAcentral is "lncRNA (ENSCPRG00005009406.1)". Lineage: Eukaryota; Metazoa; Chordata; Crocodylia; Crocodylidae. The record is from RNAcentral.
AUGCUCUUCCCUGAGAAGCACCUGGCGUCUUACCUUUCCCUGCUGGCCUGCAUUGCAGUCUCCCUCGCCGACGUACCGUCAGUACUGAAAGGGGACACACAGCACCGUAGAUGGCCGGGCAGGCUUGAUGUCGUCUUGCUUGAUCCUUCAAGACCUUCCUCACCCCUGGAAAACGAUGGCGUUUUUAACGAGGCAGGCAGAGAGGAUUAAGGCUGCUGACCGGCUGCGCAGAAAUCUUUGCCGUUUAAAGCUACCCAGCUUCUCAUGCCACAACGAACCCAAAUGUUGAUACGGACUCUGACCUGCAGAGCAGUAAGUGAUUGCUCGGGGUGGCGUUGUCCUGACGGUACCUGCAGAGCGACGGCGCCUCUCCCCGUGAUUACUCCGGUUUUCUGUACGGCAUCAUGAUGCUGCUGAGUUCAUUGGUGCGCCAGCACUCGUGUCGGGUGGAGGUUGUCCUGUCGGCGUGGUCUUGUCGGCUCAAAAACGCGACGGAGGUUUAGGGGCACUGGUUAUGGGGAGCCUGACCUCUGUAGAGCUGGUUUGUUCUGCAGUUGAUUGGAUGCCCAUUUUCAACCUAAAGUUGGAUUUCCCUGGGGUUUUGUUAGUUUGUAAAUGCUGCAGUGUGCUAUGUGCAUGUACAACGUGUCAAUGGGCGAAGUAAGACCGAGCAGUACACGUCCUCCAUCUGAUGGGCCUGUGGGUACUAGGGGACUGUGCCGUGCUAUGUAGGUGCUCUGGAGG